CAAUAUAAAAUAAAUCAUAAAUCCAGGACAUGGUUAGACCCUAUACCCCAACCCGCCCACUCUGCUCUGCAUCAACCAACCA
Molecule: long non-coding RNA, 82 nt
Organism: Etheostoma cragini (Arkansas darter)
Lineage: Eukaryota; Metazoa; Chordata; Actinopteri; Perciformes; Percidae
Exons: 3
Source: RefSeq, a predicted model, not a curated record